RNAcentral lists this long non-coding RNA (7480 nucleotides) under Gallus gallus (chicken). RNAcentral's name for it is "lncRNA (ENSGALG00010025328.1)". The record is from RNAcentral. Lineage: Eukaryota; Metazoa; Chordata; Aves; Galliformes; Phasianidae.
AAGCAAAGCGGUAUUGCUGAACUGUAGCGGGGCUGAAUACCUGCAAACUUCUCCCGUGUCCCUAUCAGAUGAAUAGCUCACUUAUUAACCUAGAGCUGCCUACAGCAGAGCCCGUUCCUUUCUCAAUGAUCUUCUCCCUGCUGUGGGCUCUGUUUGCCCGUGGCAGUGCCGCUCUGCUAGGACGUGGCCACUGGUGCAAAUCAGAGCAAAACCUGGAAUCAAAAUCCUUCCCAGUGCUCCAGCCAAACACAAGCAGCUCCCGCCGUGAACCUCUGGAGAUGCCGCCCAACUGCAGCAGGAGGUGAGGACAUUUUCCAUGGGAAGACUGCGGGAAGCCAACAGCCUCACAGUGGGGCACUCACAGGGCGCAUCAGCCAAGAAGUGAUCCUUCCCUCCCUGGUCCCAGUUGUCCACAAGCAGCAAUGAGCAAGUGUGAAUGGGGCACUGCAAAAAGCUGGUGGAAAGGUGAUUAAAAAUAGUCCCGCGAUGAGCACCUAUGGGGGCUGUCACAGUGCCAUUGGUGGGGAGCAUCAGCCAGAGGAAAGCAGGACAGAGGCACAACCUCCUCAAGGCUUCAGCUCUGCAGUAAUCUCCUGCUGUGCCUCAGUUUCCCCUCAGCAGGGAUCGCACCACCCAAGGACAGGACAUCACUCAUUGCUUUUGAUGCCUGCUGUCUGGAUGGAUGUAGAAUCCUGCAAAUAUUAAGUUGGAAAAGACCACUAAGAUCAUCUCGUCCAAUUAUCAACACAUCAGCAGCACUCACGGAAACUGCUUGUGCCAUCAGCAUCAGUACCUGAGUCCUUACACCACCCUGGCUGGGUUCUCCUGCUCAUCCAAAGGUGCCCCAGAGAAGAUGUGACCUGGAGCUGAAGACAUGCUCAUUUUGGAUACAUCACUUUGCAAACAAAAGAUUGCAGCAUCAUCCUCUUCUGUUCUUAAGGGCAAUACUGACUGAUGUGUGAUUUCCGUAGUGGAAGUGGAAUAGAUUUUUGUCCCGAUGGCUGAAAUCACUGCACUUCUCUCCUGUUUUUGUAGCUUAUUUACAGUGAGUUGUUGCUUGCCCAGGUUUUGCCCCAUGUAAAUUACCUGCACAUACUCUCUGCCAGAUCUUUUGGCUAUUCUUGGAUCCCUCCUCUGCAGACCUCGAGGGCUUUAGUCUUCGAGCUGCAGCUUUCUUUUAUUACUUCAGAAAUUAGGAAGAUGUCUUCUUUGGUGGAAGGCAUCUGCUUAGUGUCUGAUGCAUUUAGGAUACUCAUUAAAGGGAUAUUUUCCCCCUUAUCUCAUGCCUAAUCUCUGGAGGAGGACGCUGAUUGCUUUGGCUGCGUGCUGUCACUCCUUGCUGGGAUCCUGUGGUGGCACAAGCAGUGUCCCCAUGUCCCUGCACAGCCCUGCGGGUAACCUCAGAACAGAGCUGGCCAAUACCGUGCCUGGAAGCUCCCUCAAUAUUUCAAUAUUUGAUUUUGCUCUUCUGUUCAGCCUUUUAAUGUGGUUCUGCUUAUUUUUACAGGUUUCCCAAUCUGCCCCCUCCCCAGAUUGUUUAUAUUUUUGGAAAGCCUUCUGUUUAGUGCCUGUAAUACCCCUGACGUCCUUUUGCUGCAGUGGGCUUCCAUUACCAGCAUCUCCGCUGAGACUUAACUGGGAUUUGUUUCUAUACUAAUCUCUCAAACUGUUUAUUAAACCCCCUCCUGAUUUAUCUGCAAAAGAUUUCCUUGAAGUUAUAAAAUCUCAAUCAAAAUUCCUCUGGGCAUUGCACAUUCCCUCUUACGACCACUAAAUCCUGUUUGUUCUUGCCAUGACCCACUUGGCUCAUGGUUGGAGACAUAGCACCCGAAUGUGCCCAGCAUCACAGGGGCAGCUUUGCAGUCUUUCUGCAAUGAGGGCUAGUUGCCCCAAAGCCUCUUUCUAGAACUGCUCCUCUAAAACCAUUUUUUUCCUUUUGAGUUUCAACCCUAGCAGUCAGCAUGGCUUUCCUGUUAGCAAGUGCGAGUUUUCCUUGUUGUCCCAUCACCUUGCACCCAGUGUUGAGCUCAUAACCUGCUAAAUAAUUCCUCUUCCACCUUGGUGUUUACAUUCUUCAGAUAUUUUCACCGCUUUUCACGUCCCAACUCAUUUGUCCCUUGUCUGGGCUAUACCCUGCCCCUUUCAUCUUUGCACAUCAGAGCCGCUUCCUCCAGCCUGACAGCAGCACCACUGGGCAGGUUCCUUUCCCCAAACUGGACUCAUCCAUUUGUCCGUCCAUCCAUCCAUCCAUCCAUCCAUCCAUCCCAGACCUGUCAGGAUGAAUGUGGCCCCAAGGACUGGCCCAUGCCUUUUGCCUGGAUGCCCCUCAUCCAGCAGCUUGCCCACCCUGCCCUCUCCUUUUGGUGUGAAUCAGACCAGGUAUCAUCCAGUACCUGGUCCUCACUCUGCAGAGAGCAAGAGAAUACAACACACAGCAAAGCUCCAUUCUUGACCCAACUGCUGUUGCCUAUUUCCCACUGCAGCUCUUCCUCGCACCCAGGGCAGCUUUUGGCCAGAGAUUAGGACAGAAAAUAUGGCAGUGUUCUGGGAAAAAAAAAAGUCACUGGAGUUUGGCCCAAUGAACAGAUUAUGGGGUCUAUUUAAAGGAGGAGAAAACUCUUUUCUGGCCUCCUGCAUGCACAAUAAUGGCAUGCCAGAGGUUCAACUCCUUCCAAGGGCUUUACCCUUUGGUGUCAUUUGGUUGCAUAUUUGCUAUAGCAAGGAGAUGGUAGUAAUUGGAAUAAUACAGCUACGUAGGGAAAAAACCUUGUUAGUUUAGCACUCUAUUUCCCUGCAGUGCAGCUCCUGCCUAAAGCCAUCCAAAGAAAACAGUUCACCUAACAUAUGCUAGGCACUUCAAAGAGAAAAUUAAAAGGGACAAAGCCAAUGUGAGAGGAUGAAGAAUCCCAGAGGAGCUUUAUCAGGAUCCCAUUCAGUGUUUCCCAUGUUUUAGUGGAAAAAAAGCCCAGCAAUAACAAAAAAGACCCGGGCGUGCAAGCCUCGGUGACUGAUAGAGGAUUUUCCCUUGGCUAGACACAGAGCCUUCAAAAAAACUGCAGCAGAGUGUGGGAUCAUUAAACACCUUCGGAUUCCUUCCUCACUGCCAAUCACGGCAUCAGAAACCGCCCUCUCCGUGGCGUCUGCUGAUUCCACUUUGAAAACUUCCCCAUUUAUCACCGCCGCGAGAGAUCCUGCCGAGACCGCUGGAGCCUGCUGCUUGUCAACAGGGCACCUUAUCUUCUCCAAACAUUUACUUAACCCUUUGUCUCGCGGGUGGGGAACAAUGGGAGCCCGGUGCGGCCCCACCAACCUCCCACACCAAAGCUGCUGCAGAGCACGGUGUGCCAACCUCCAUGCCAGCAGGAAGGUUGCUCACAAUGUGGGAAGAGGAGAAGCUGUUUGUGGGUGCUCCCUGGUAGGCACGCAGGUACAAAGAACUUUCCUAGCAAUAAGGACCCACCAUCUGUAACUCAAAAUGGCUCCUAAAUCAGGACGUACAAUUGCAGAGUCCUUAAGGCUGGAGAAGAACCUUGAGAUCCCCAAGCUCAACACAGCCCACCCCACCGUGCCCUCUGCCCACAUCCCUCAGUGCCACAUCUCCAUGGUUCCUGAACACCUCCAGGGAUGGUGACCUCACCACCUCCCUGGGCAGCCGUGCCACUGCAUCACUGCUCAUUCUAUGAAGCAAUUGUUCCUUGUACCAAACCAGACAGAAUAGGUACAGCUUCACUUAAGGACACGAUACCACCUUCAGAGGUGGUAGUUAACGCUGUGCAGAGUUCUAAAGAAAAUUUUCUAUGAUCCUCAUUGCCACUGUAAGUGGAAAGCUGGAUGUGUCUUCACUGAAGAACUCAUGGCAGAGCAAGCGUUUUGUUUUUAUAAAAGCAGGUGAUUGGUUUUGGAGAAUUUUGCUUCGGUGCAGCAAGUGAACCAGCACUACAGGUUUCCACUGAGAGAUGGGUCAGACCUCUCUGACAAGAAAAUGAGGUCUCAACUCUUGACCUUCAGUGCAGCAGCUCGGAGGCUGGCUCUUUGUCAUGGCUGGUGACAUGCAUGCACUGCUCACAGUUACCUGCGACCAUAAGGAUCCAAUGGGGUUGUGGCAGAAAACUGCUGUGUUUUUGAAAUGCAUGAAGAACUCCAAGACUCACUUCCUAAUAAAAACCCAAGCAAAAAACCACUGUGAUCUUCCCACCAAUUCCAGCAGGCUUUGGAACACGAUAUUCCUGUUAACCCAAGCCCAACCCUCAGCAGCCCCACUGUGGGUGAUGGCAGAUACAGAGGCAAUACACAGGAAUGCAGAGGGGCAAAACACCAUCAGAAACCAGGGGACAUACAGACAAAAGCUCACAGCUCAGCGUUACCAGUUACAAACAACCCUCAUUGCUGCUCAGCAGCUGCACUGAGGACAGUAAUAAAUGGCUGCGUGUUUGAAGCUGAGUUUUACGUCUUUGCAUUGUCACUGCAAUGCUUUGUGCUGUUAUCUAUGACAAGAGCUGGGAGUUCACAUCUUUAUCUAUGAACAAAGACUCACAGAUCGUGGCAGCAUUUGGCAGUAUGACAGCCUCAGGGAAGUUGGAAUACAGUCAGCAAAACAGCUCCUCUGUCACAGCAGCGGUGGCAGAGAGGGGCUUUGUCCCAGAAUGGGUGAUGAGGUUCUCCAAAGCGUUUUAAUUAACUGCCCUUCAUGUACUUGCUUAGCAGAGCUGGCAGUGAGCUUGAUAUAUCUUUCUAUGUUUGUGAGUACUCUAGCAAGUACCGCUACCCAGGUGCUGCCCCUAAGCCAUUUGGGGAGAGUAUAGGAAGGGAUAAGUAAGAACUUUGCAUUUCUGAGUCAUGUAUGCGUCACAUCUAUACUGCCACUUCUUUCACUUAGCUACAUACUUAAUUAAGCACUUACUCACAGCCUUGGGGUCAGCCUGAGGACAGGGUUCCUCUGUUCUUAACUCCUGUGCCACCUAACAAAGCUGAGAAUCCUUUCUGAGGAGAACGAUUAUUCAUUCAGCGUUCAUUCAUUCAUUCAUUCAUUCAGCACCCAGUGUUGCACAAUAUGAAGUGCUACUGCUGGCAAGCGACUCACACCCCAUUUGUGUGACGUCUGGCAGGCAGGGAGCCUUGGGGACACCACACACACAGGCACAGACCUUCAGUAAGAGAAGGGACUCCUUCAAAUACAGCUCAAGGUGUGGCUGUACAUCUAUAUUCUCCCAGCACAUGGGAACACAAAAGGCACAAGAGAUGUUACCAACCACUCCAGAGCAGAGCUGAGGGCAUUGCUGUAGGACAGGGGACCAGGAGCAGCCAGUAUGUCAUCAACACAUGCACAUCAUGGAGACCUUCAGGACUGGAGAGUCCAGGCUGGAUGUAGCUCUGGGCAGCCUGGCCAAGUGCUUGGCAACCCUGCACAUAGCAUGGGGUUGAAACUGGAUGAUCAUUGUGGUCCUUUUCAACCCAGGCCAUUCUAUGAUUCUGUGAUUCUAUGAUUCUGUGAUACUAUGAUACUAUGAUAAGAUAGGUCAAAAGAAUGGUGUCAUUUUAAGUGACAUCUGAGAAAAUAAAGCACCCAUCAUUAUUCAUCUGCUGAAAGACAAACAAAAAGAUCCAGGAUGUGAGUGGGUCAGAUAUCUUUGGAUCUAGGAGGAGCUCUUUAUAAGGAAAGAAACUAGAUUUGGGUAUAGCUUGUACAGCAUUUAUCGUUAGAAGUGCUACAGGAAUGUGACCUAUAUUUAGCCAACAUACCUUAAACUACAGAAGACUCUACCGUGUAACUCAUGGCUCCCAUUUCCUCAUGGUCUUACUGAGAAAGGCUCCCUGGACCCACCAGACAUCUGAUGUGUUCCAUUGCUAGUGAGGACAGUUCUGGCAUGGAGCACAUACUGUUUUGCUUUCACAGAGCGUUCCUGGACUGACUGAAGUGGCUGUCAUGCUGCAGUGCAUGCUUUCUCCAAGUUAAGUGGCAUUCCCAGACCCUUGGCAGAAGACGACACAUUUCUCCUGGGGUGGAAAGAUUUGGAGGAAAGCCCCGAGCACUUUGGCAGAGCCAGUGGGAUACCUGGCAAAGCUCACUCAGCACUGCCUGCCCUCGCUCCAUCCCAUGUUACCUUCCCUGUGAUAACGGGAGCCCGGGUCCCAGCAGGGAAAAAAGGAAUGAUAUCAAUCUUCAGCAAAGGGAAAGACAGCACCUUCCAGCUGGAUGAGCCUCAUAGUCCUGUGUCUGGUUGAGGUUCAGGGGGGACAGUCCACAGUUCUAGGUCACCAAUGGAAGUAGGGUAGCACAAUGAUAUGUUCCUGAUGAGCAUGGGGUGUUCAACACACAUAAGGCAGAGCUGUCAUGGCACACUAAGUUGCUACACUGCCUUUCCAUCAGCACAACCAAGAUUUUAAGAGCAACUCCAGAACAUGUUUUUUACUCCAGCCCACUCACGAUGGGCAGAUGUAUGAUGAUGGCAACAUCCUUCAGCAACAUCCUUCAACAUCAUUCAGGCUAGAUGGUGCUCUGAGCACACUGACUGAGCUGUAGAUGUCCCUGUUCAUUGUAGAGGAGUUGGAACAGAUGGCCUUUAACGGCCCCUUCCAACUCAAAAGAUUCUGUGAUCCUAAAUCACCAGUCAGACCUACUUGGACUCAGCUUUACCCCCUUUGCUGGUGGCUCUAACAGAUCACAUAUGCUUUCUUAAAUGUGUCUACUUACUUAAGUGCUUUGCACUGCUUUCACAGAAAUCAGACAUCAGUGUUGGGCUGACAGCACACCCAAAUCUUUGCUGCUGUUCAGCAGAUACAGUUUGUUCAGCUGAAGUGAUUCAGCCACGCACCUGAGCUCCAAACGGUAGUGCUGAAGAUAAGGAAACUCGCUUGGGAUCAUGAGAAGUACUCACAGGAGUUCUGGAGGAGGUGUGCUGAAGAUGUAGGUCUGUGCAGAGCUCCCCUGCCUCACCUUGGUUCUGCAACCUGUAAGGAGAUUGAAACAUUAUUGGCUAUGGAAUGGUUGACAGGACAGGGCUGCUCCCAGCUCAUUGAGCCCCAGGCAUGAAGGGAGCCGAGCCUCGGGCUGCCUGACUUGAGCCCUGACCCCCGUAAGCAGCCUGUCCUCAUCAGAGGUUUGGGAACAGGCCCAUCCUCAUUCAAACCCGCUUUGUUAGAGAGGAACUUCUCCAACAGAUAGAAGCUUCCGGUGGCAGGAAUGUUUUAUUCAUAAUUAGCGAUUUUUCAUUUAUCGGCACUUCCAUGAAGUGGAUCCAAUCUGCAGAGAAUCUGGCUAGAAGGGUGUAAAAACAUUUCAAGCUCCUGCACUUUUAUUCAUUUAACAUUUUUCCAGACACUCUUCCCAGCCCUUACUCAUGUCGUUCCCCUACCCGUCACAGCCUUCUUUUAGGCAUAAUAUUGUUAUCUAUUACUUUAAUCCCAAAAUGGUGAGGGAGUGCUACAUGGAAAAAAAAAUAAUGGGAAAUGGUCCCAGCAAAUGGAGUUAAGGAGAGAUAGG